UUGGACAACAUGAUGAUUUCAUAGUUCAACAGAUUAUCAGUGAAGUCAACAUUUCGCCCCUAUCUGAUUGUUCCA
Non-coding RNA from Branchiostoma floridae (Florida lancelet), 75 nucleotides. NCBI's taxonomy places the organism in Eukaryota, Metazoa, Chordata, Leptocardii, Amphioxiformes, Branchiostomatidae. The record is from Rfam.